AGGUCCUGCCUGCCCAGUGACUAUGUUAAACGGCCGCGGUAUUUUGACCGUGCAAAGGUAGCGCAAUCACUUGUCUUUUAAAUGAAGACCUGUAUGAAUGGUGGAACGAGGGCCUAACUGUCUCCCUUUUCAGGUCAAUGAAAUUGAUCUACCCGUGCAGAAGCGGGUAUACACAUACAAGACGAGAAGACCCUUUGGAGCUUAAGAUUAAAAAUCAACUAUGUCAAAUAUUUAUUAAAUAAAACUAAAUAGUAACUGAUCAUAAUCUUCGGUUGGGGCGACCACGGAAUAAAAACAAACUUCCACAUGGACUGAGGACUAACCUUAAAACCAAGAAAAACAUUUCUAAGUCACAGAAUUUCUGACCAUACAGAUCCGGCAAAUUGCCGAUCAAUGGACCAAGUUACCCUAGGGAUAACAGCGCAAUCCCCUUUUAGAGUUCCUAUCGACAAGGGGGUUUACGACCUCGAUGUUGGAUCAGGAC
RNAcentral lists this ribosomal RNA (484 nucleotides) under Osteogaster rabauti (rust corydoras). RNAcentral's name for it is "Corydoras rabauti (rust corydoras) partial 16S ribosomal RNA". It matches the Rfam family "Bacterial large subunit ribosomal RNA", at positions 1850 to 2543 of the family's 2925-position model. Lineage: Eukaryota; Metazoa; Chordata; Actinopteri; Siluriformes; Callichthyidae. The record is from RNAcentral.